GAGUUUGAUCAUGGCUCAGGAUGAACGCUGGCGGCGUGCCUAAUACAUGCAAGUCGAACGAACAGAUAAGGAGCUUGCUCCUUUGACGUUAGCGGCGGACGGGUGAGUAACACGUGGGUAACCUACCUAUAAGACUGGAAUAACUCCGGGAAACCGGGGCUAAUGCCGGAUAACAUGUUGAACCGCAUGGUUCUACAGUGAAAGACGGUCUUGCUGUCACUUAUAGAUGGACCCGCGCCGUAUUAGCUAGUUGGUGGGUAACGGCCUACCAAGGCGACGAUACGUAGCCGACCUGAGAGGGUGAUCGGCCACACUGGAACUGAGACACGGUCCAGACUCCUACGGGAGGCAGCAGUAGGGAAUCUUCCGCAAUGGGCGAAAGCCUGACGGAGCAACGCCGCGUGAGUGAUGAAGGUCUUCGGAUCGUAAAGCUCUGUUGUUAGGGAAGAACAAAUGUGUAAGUAACUGUGCAUAUCUUGACGGUACCUAACCAGAAAGCCACGGCUAACUACGUGCCAGCCGCCGCCGU
Molecule: ribosomal RNA, 529 nt
Filed under: uncultured microorganism
Description: bacterial SSU rRNA
Rfam family: Bacterial small subunit ribosomal RNA
Source: RNAcentral